This 1396-nucleotide ribosomal RNA is filed under the name uncultured bacterium. Its description in RNAcentral is "bacterial SSU rRNA". It matches the Rfam family "Bacterial small subunit ribosomal RNA". The record is from RNAcentral.
AGAGUUCGAUCCUGGCUCAGGACGAACGCUGGCGGCGCGCCUAACACAUGCAAGUCGAACGAGCGAGAGAGAGCUUGCUUUCUCGAGCGAGUGGCGAACGGGUGAGUAACGCGUGAGGAACCUGCCUCAAAGAGGGGACAACAGUUGGAAACGACUGCUAUUACCGCAUAAGCCCACAGCUCGGCAUCGAGCAGAGGGAAAAGGAGCAAUCCGCUUUGAGAUGGCCUCGCGUCCGAUUAGCUGGUUGGUGAGGUAACGGCCCACCAAGGCGACGAUCGGUAGCCGGACUGAGAGGUUGAACGGCCACAUUGGGACUGAGACACGGCCCAGACUCCUACGGGAGGCAGCAGUGGGGAAUAUUGCACAAUGGGGGAAACCCUGAUGCAGCGACGCCGCGUGGAGGAAGAAGGUCUUCGGAUUGUAAACUCCUGUUGUUGAGGAAGAUAAUGACGGUACUCAACAAGGAAGUGAUGGCUAACUACGUGCCAGCAGCCGCGGUAAAACGUAGGUCACAAGCGUUGUCCGGAAUUACUGGGUGUAAAGGGAGCGCAGGCGGGAAGGCAAGUUGGAAGUGAAAUCCAUGGGCUCAACCCAUGAACUGCUUUCAAAACUGUUUUUCUUGAGUAGUGCAGAGGUAGGCGGAAUUCCCGGUGUAGCGGUGGAAUGCGUAGAUAUCGGGAGGAACACCAGUGGCGAAGGCGGCCUACUGGGCACCAACUGACGCUGAGGCUCGAAAGUGUGGGUAGCAAACAGGAUUAGAUACCCUGGUAGUCCACACUGUAAACGAUGAUUACUAGGUGUUGGAGGAUUGACCCCUUCAGUGCCGCAGCUAACACAAUAAGUAAUCCACCUGGGGAGUACGACCGCAAGGUUGAAACUCAAAGGAAUUGACGGGGGCCCGCACAAGCAGUGGAGUAUGUGGUUUAAUUCGACGCAACGCGAAGAACCUUACCAAGUCUUGACAUCCUGCGACGCGCAUAGAAAUAUGUGUUUCCUUCGGGACGCAGAGACAGGUGGUGCAUGGUUGUCGUCAGCUCGUGUCGUGAGAUGUUGGGUUAAGUCCCGCAACGAGCGCAACCCUUAUGGUCAGUUACUACGCAAGAGGACUCUGGCCAGACUGCCGUUGACAAAACGGAGGAAGGUGGGGAUGACGUCAAAUCAUCAUGCCCUUUAUGACUUGGGCUACACACGUACUACAAUGGCGUUAAACAAAGAGAAGCGAGACCGCGAGGUGGAGCAAAACUCAGAAACAACGUCCCAGUUCGGACUGCAGGCUGCAACUCGCCUGCACGAAGUCGGAAUUGCUAGUAAUCGCAGAUCAGCAUGCUGCGGUGAAUACGUUCNCCGGGCCAAAUACACACCGCCCGUCAAGGGCGAAUUCUUUUAAACAUAACAC